AGCGGAGGAAAAGAAACUAACAAGGAUUCCCCUAGUAACUGCGAGUGAAGCGGGAAAAGCUCAAAUUUAAAAUCCUUCGGGAGUUGUAAUCUAUAGAAGUGUUUUCGGUCGUUGCCUCGGACAAGUCUCUUGGAACAGAGCGUCAUAGAGGGUGAGAAUCCCGUCCUUGCCGAGCUCCCAACGUCUAUGUGAUACACUUUCAAAGAGUCGAGUUGUUUGGGAAUGCAGCUCAAAAUGGGUGGUAAACUCCAUCUAAAGCUAAAUAUUGGCGAGAGACCGAUAGCGAACAAGUACCGUGAGGGAAAGAUGAAAAGCACUUUGGAAAGAGAGUUAAACAGUACGUGAAAUUGUUGAAAGGGAAGCGCUUGAAGUCAGUCGCGUUGCAAGGACUCAGCCUCACGGUGUAUUUCUUUGCAACGGGUCAACAUCAGUUUUGACCGCGGGAAAAGGGCUUGAGGAAUGUGGCAACCUCGGUUGUGUUAUAGCCUCUUGUCGUACACCGCGGUCGGGACUGAGGUCUGCUUACAGGAUGUUGACGAAAUGGCUUUAAGCGACCCGUCUUGA
Molecule: ribosomal RNA, 564 nt
Filed under: Dacrymyces chrysospermus
Lineage: Eukaryota; Fungi; Basidiomycota; Dacrymycetes; Dacrymycetales; Dacrymycetaceae
Description: eukaryotic LSU rRNA
Rfam family: Eukaryotic large subunit ribosomal RNA
Source: RNAcentral